Molecule: non-coding RNA, 1310 nt
Organism: Paramuricea clavata
Lineage: Eukaryota; Metazoa; Cnidaria; Anthozoa; Malacalcyonacea; Plexauridae
Source: the annotation of a GenBank genome assembly
CAGGGUUAGUAUAGUUAAGGUUAAUAAUCCCACUCAGAAGUGCCUGAUGAUAGAAUUUUGAAAUCAGAAGCGGAGACUGGGUGUUUGCGCAUGUGUUUGUGAGCGAGUAUACUAGACAUGGUUGAGAUAGAGCGUUCUUUUCCAGUCAAAGGCGAGACUCCCAUAUGCUCUGAGAUACGUGUGUGAAUGUGUCGGCGUGUUUGUCCAACAUACAAUGCGCUAUUGUCCAACAUACAAUGCGCUACAGCUGAUUGACACGUGAACUGAUACACAACAACACAACACAACACAACACAACACAACACAACACAACACAACACAACACAACAACAACACAACACAACACAACUUGCGGAGUGUCAAUUGCUUUUGACAGUUUUGGGUUUAAUUAUACUGUAAAAACUCUAUGGCAACCGUAAUUUUUAGACAGUUGCAUCGUGUAAAAGUAUUUAAUAAUUAGUAUAAAAACUUUCCACCACUAAAACAAUCUCGUACUAUUGCCACUAAAUACAACCUCUGAAAUACACGCACAGAGAUGUAAAUAAGCCGCCUUCCGCGUAGCCUGCGUGGCAAUACGCUUAGUUUAGGCAAUACGCUUUUCCGCGCAAGAGUAGUUUAAAACCAGGGCGCUUAUAUAUAGGGCGGUUUAAGGCGCGGUUUAGGGCGGUGAAACGGCUAAAGGCGCGCCGAUCGAUGUGUGAUGCAAUGAACUGGUAACGAGUUUGUUGUGGUUACUAUGGCGACGUUGUCCUAUAUGGCAUGGAUAAAUAUGGCGGGAAAACUGAGCUGGAAGUUUUGACUGUUUUGUAGUCAAGUUUUGAUAAAGAAAUAGAUAUUGGGGGUAAAAUUCCGAUGUUAUACGAUAAUUUAGUAGAUUCUGCUAUUGUAUUUUCAGGUAAUACUGCCAAUAUUUUAGAGUUUUUGCUCAAAACGCUUGCGAAAGCUUACGAACGGUUGCUUUCGCAAGAAGCAUGACGUGAAAGGUUUUUAAAACUCUUCGGAUGUACACGUAUCGUUCACGUUCGAUAGAAUACAAUUCACAAUUAAUUUUAGCCACUAGUUGAUCUUUUCAGUUGAAAAUCAAGAAAUGCUCAACUUGAAUUUGUAUUUUUUUAACGAAUCCUUACGAGAAGUUGUCUUGGCCAGCCGGUCAAAAAAAAUCAAAGUUGGGACAAAACUUUUUCGACUAUUGCGCUCAACAAACGUCCGAGCGAGUCGUAUUUUGAUUCAAAGGCCAGGAAGUAAAAUAUGUUUACGGCUCAGAAUUACUUCAAUUGAAUGCCUUAAAAGUCGUAGAAAAUUAUUAACAU